Non-coding RNA from Vicugna pacos (alpaca), 6273 nucleotides. The record is from RefSeq and is a predicted model, not a curated record. Lineage: Eukaryota; Metazoa; Chordata; Mammalia; Artiodactyla; Camelidae.
UGUUGUGUCAAAUUCCAGUGUAGAGCACAAUUUUUCACUUAUGCAUGAACAUACAUAUAUUCAUUGUUACGGUUUUUUUUUGCUGUGAGCUACCGUAAGAUCUUGUAUACAUUUCCCUGUGCUGUCCUACAGUGUAAUCUUGCUCAUCUGUUCUACGUUUUGAGAUCCCAGUCUGUCCCUUCCCACCCCCUGCUCCCUUGGCAACCACAAGUUUGUAUUCUAUGUCUAUGAAUCUGUUUCUGUUUCGUAUUUGUUUUUUUUAGAUUCCACAUAUGAGCGAUCUCAUAUGGUUUUUUUCUUUCUCUUUCUGGCUUACUUCACUUAGAAUGACAUUCUCCAGGAACAUCUAGAGUCCUUAUUAUAUCUAAAAUAGUUCCUUAAUAUCAUAAAUAUCCAGUAAGUGUUCAGAUUUCAGUCAGCUAUUGUUACUCUUCCUAGCAGUAUAUUUGAAACAGGAUUUGUGGGUCAAUAUGUAUUUUCAGACUUUAAAGAAGAAACUACUUUGGCCCACAUCCUGGACUUUACUGAUCGCACACCUGUAAUGUAGUUCUCCGUAUUCCCAGUAAAUUAAUAGUUGGAGCCAGAGGCUUCCUGUGUUCAUAUUCUCAUAUUCUCUUUUUUCCCCACUUUUUUAUUUUUGCAACAUUACAGUUGAUGAUUUGUUCUUCCAUCAGAAGGUAGAUAAUGUCUGGUUGAUUCUGUCUUUUGGGAUUUCAGCAACCAUUGCUAUCAUUGCUUCACUAGGAAUGGCAAUAUGAUGACAUUCUGUCAUUUCUUUUUCACUUAUUAGCCGGAAUAUUUCUAAAAAGAGAAACUUUCCCUUGUGUACUGUUUGGUUGCCCAGCAGUACUUGGAAAUGGAUAAAUACUUGGUUUUGUUCUCCUUAUUUAUCAAUUUCAGAAUGCCAAGUUGGUCCAUCUUCUCUGGUGAUGACCCGUGAGGUUUUUUUUUUUAAAGUAAUAAAUGAACUAAUGAAAAGAGGACUAUUAUUAGAAUUGGGAUGUUUGCUACAGCUGUUUUGUUAAAGUGCAGCUGUUUUGAUGAAUUUUGUUAGUAAGCCUAAAUAAAACACCUAUUAUUCCAUAUCCACUGUAAGACUUUCUAACGGUCAAAACAAAAUCUUCCUCUGCAAAGCUAAGACAUUGUAGUUAAUAUCCUUAUUAAUGCUCAAAACAUGCCCCCUCUGGCCCGUUGGAGCCUCUUCGGGUUGGCGUCCGAGUCUUCCUGCCCCACCCGGGAGUCUGCUGGUCUCCUUGCUGUCUGCGACAUUGUUCUGGGCUCACCGUGUCCGUGCCCCGUCCCAGACCUGGAAUCAGCCGUUUCUUCACAGAGCCCUGCUUCCUUUCAGUGGAGACCAUAAUCUGUAUUUCUAGGGUUGAAAAAUAGAUUUUUUUAAAAGCAGGGUUCUGUAUAUUUAAAGAUUGUUUUGACUAGUACUAAAGGAGUUCAUGGUAGCUUUCUAACUUAAAAAAACAAAACCACAAAUAUACUGGAGCCUCAGUCUGAGACCCUGAAUGGGGUUGGAAGGGUGUAGUCCUGCCACUUUCCCAGGUCUCAGGAUCUUCCUGGUGUGUGAUAAUGUGUGUUUCUCUCUUGUCCACAUCUUUAUUGGGAAUCCACAUGGACAUAAUAACAAGUUGUCUUUCGCUUCCUGUCAAGUAUGAGGCCAGAUGGCUUUUCUCCCAGGCCGAAGAGUCUCAGGGUGACCUCUUUGGAAGGAUACUGGAGCUCUUAUUGGUAGAAAAUAAAUGUGCUGCUUUUUUCUUUUCUAAAACAGUACGCAUUAUUAGCCAGAUACCUACUUUUCCAAGUACUACUCAGGGAGAACAGAUAAGAGUUAUUACGUAUCGGAGAUCAUUCUGUGGGUUAAUCUCUCCAGUUUCCUAACUAAACCAAAGCAAAAACCUUUGAAAGAAAUGCCUUAAGACAGUUAGGUCCCAUAACCUAUGAUGAAAAAGAAUAUGAAAAUGAAUGUAUGUAUGUAUAUGUAUGACGGAACUAUUACGCUGUACACCAGAAACUGACACAACAUUGUAAAGUGACUGUACUUCAAUUAAAAAGAAAAGAAAAACACAGCUAGGUCCCACAAGCUCUGAGUUCAUAAUGCCUUAAGGUCUUGCGUUUUUCAUGAUGCCCUUUCUUAGGCCAAAAGAAAUACCUAGCUCUUCAUUUCAUUCAGUCAACUCCGGACAACUUCAGAGUAGGAGUUAGUGUAGUAUCUAACAGACGUUUUGUGCUUUUUUCCCCUUGAAAAUUUAAAAUAUCCCACAGUGUCCUGUUAGGUCACUGCCGCACAGGUUAGGGACCUUAGGGAGAUGCAACCUUCCCUUUGGAACAUUGUUACAGAGAUUACAUUCUGGAUACAUACUCCAUAGUACCACAUCCUCUCCCCUACCUUCAUCAAAAUCUGGCCUUAAGAGAAAAGAACAUUAAAAUACUAAACUUGUGGAAUACAGACACAGAUUUCUUUCACAUUCAAAUUUAUGCAAAUUGAGAUUUUAAAAACUCUUACUCUUCUAAUACCAGUGAAGACUCUGAGUCUUACCCAGUGUUUUGUUAAGUCUGUGAGGAGGGAACCUGGUACGUUUGGAAUUGGGGCACUUUAAAAGCAGUGAGAUUAAUAUUUAUCCAAAACAGUGUCUGAAAUUCUAAUUCCAGAUAAAAGAAUCAUAGUCUUGGGCAAAUGUAGGAAAAUUCCGAACUAUUAGGAAAAUUCUAAACUUCACGGAGUCUGUGAUGCCAUCUCCCGCUGCGGGUACUAAUCUUGGCUAACAUUGUAUACAGGCUUCUUGUUUUGACUUCAAGAAGUGUUUUGCCGUGUGGGGCUGCCUUUGGAGCCUGACUGCUUGAAAACACAGUUAAGACAAAAGUCAGGGACCCGGUGAAGGCCAUGUUCUCUGCCCAGCAGUCAUUCCCCAGUAGAUUGUCACUGAGGGACUGAGAUUAAUUAAGGCUGACCGAGGGCUGUUAAAAAGCCACAGAACAAAUUAUCAGUUGACGGAGAAGAGGGGAUGGAUUUAGUAGAGUGUCUCAACAACUCAAAAAUUGUGCGUAAAAAAUCCAUUUUCCCCCUUCCCGUUGCUUUUAAAAAUGAGGUGGAUGCUUCCUCGGUAUAGGUUGAACGUGGUUAGAAACAAGUUCUUGACUAGUUCAUAGGAGCUGUGUUUAUUCACACCCUGAACGAAAGGGGAGGGAAUGAACUAAACUGACAGCAGGAGAGAUUUGGAGUUAGACUUCAGAAGUUCCUUCAUCCCUGAGAAACUAGAUUGUCAACAAUCAGGCAUCAUCUUGCGGACUUUUCAGAAAAGUCAUAACUGGCUUUCUGAAAGGACUUCAUUUAAAGGCUGGUUACCAGGCUGGCUCUUAAGAUCCCCUUCAGUCCUGGGCAUUUCAGAUUCAUGUACAUUAAACAUACCCCACAGACAAAACAAACCUCUCACCACUGUCAUCUGCUGGUGUGAGCCAGGGGUCCAGGAGGCAGUAAGGAGGUGGGUGGGGGGAGGAAGGUUCUCCAAUACCAGGACUUCAAGAGGGUUUGAGACUCCAUCCGGCAAUGUAUUGGCUUCCGAAGCUUCUGAACUACUAACACUAGAAUACAAAAGGGAGAUAUUAUUUGUAAUAUCUCAAUUUUGGGAUCUGUUUUCCCCAAAAUUUGUUAUUUGUAUGAUUUCUCUAAGCUUUUAUUUUCCUUUUGAAUUUUAAAAAUGUGAGAGGUUGAUAUAGACUUGGUAAAAUCCCAAAUAAACAGAGAGAGAGCAGCCUGGAGACCAUUCCCAUGGCCAAGAGCACUUUGCCGAUGGAGAUGCAGUUCGGAUGCAGGGCAGUGGCAGAGGGAGUGAGGCUGGGAGGAGGGGCAGAGAGAGCCGUAGCAGUGAUGUCACGUAGCAGUGAUAGUGAGAGGGGUGUGACGUGAGCAUGAUUCUCCAGGAUGUCUCUUGUCUGUGACUGUAACUUAAAACGUCAGAUCACUUACCUGAAGGGUGGGGCCAGACCUUGAGAGGUAGCUGGUCCAGCCCUCCUCUCAGCAGUGUUCCCACAAGUGUCAUCCGGCUGAGAAUUCCAGAGACACUCUGCUCUUCUCUGCUGCUCUCUCUCCUGCUUUGUAGCGUCUUUGUUGUGGGUUUCCCCCCAGACUCUAGGUGGUGGUUGCCAUCUGCCAGGCUCUGUGCCAAGUGUUUUGCGAAUAUGAAGUCAGUCUCACGAGAGUGCUUGAAGUAGAUUCCUUCAAUAAAGAAGAGGCGAUGGAGGCACCAAGUGGGUAACCUCCCAAGAUCCCACAGCUGGUGGGUGGCAGGAGGGGGAUCACGACCUCUGCCGCCUGGCUCCGGGCUGCUCUUUCCCUGCCACCUUCCUCCCAGGCGGUCCUCUGUGUGGACGGCAGCCAGGACCGUGUGUUCUCCCGCUGGUGCUGGUGGGGGUCUGACCGGGAGGAGGGGUGAAGCAGGAAAACUUUUCAUUUAGGUGAUUCUUCUCAAGUAAAGUCACAAACUUUCAAAACAGUGGGAUUUUUUUUUAUUUGUUUGCUCAUUUUUGCUUUUUAGCGAGUGAAGGGAAUGGGAGAAUGGCUUAAAGAAAGAGGUGGGAGUAGGUAAAAGUAAUCUUGGUGACACCAAGGCAGCUGCCUUACUUGAAAGUUGUACUAAACAGCCCUGCUUCCUAUAACUCAGCCCCAUGCAUUUUCCUACUAUCUUUAUAUGCCCACACCGCUUCAGACAGAUUGCCUGUUGGUUUUAAUAAAAAAGCAUCGUGGUUAGGAGUGGAUUGGAUGCCUGCUGGGGUUUCCUCUGGAAAGCUUUUCUCCUGCUUUAAUGUGGGUUCCAUGGUUCGAGCUGACAGUGCAUGACAUUAACUCAGCUCCUAUUUCUUUCCUUCCUUCAACAAAAUAAUAGCAUUUGAAAAAAUACCCUAAUCUGGAAAUGAUCUCUGACCCAUAUAACUUUCCAGUUAUUUCACCCAGAGAACAUCUGGAACAGUCAAAUCAACACACAGAUAUUUGAGACCUUCAAGUUAUGGAGGAACAGCUCAAAUAAACCCAGUUUUCAUUGUGAACCUGGCAGAAAGGAUAUUAAUCAGUUGCUAAAUUGUAAUCCUCCUAUAGUAGCAAGUGAGAAGAAUUUACACAGCUUUGCAGUGAACCAAGGAUCAAGUCGCCCUCUGUUUUCAGUGCGUUGUACUUUAAAACACGCUCAGAGCUUAUUUCUUAGUUUAUGACGCUUGUCCAAGAUAGAAUCAUGUUGAUUUACUCUAGGGACAAAGGAGAUGUUAAAUUUUAUAUUUUUAACAGUCUAAGAAAGGUUUCUGCGAAUGUAUCUUAAGGAAGGUACAAAGUAUCCAAUCUUAUUGUCUAAUAAUUGGGGACCAGUUUGAUUAAAUAAGGGUAUAUCUACUUGAUAAAAUGUCCUUAUUGCCACAAAAAUUAAUAGAAGCAGUGUAACAGCAGAAGAAAGCCUUACAAUGUUUUAAAAAGCAGAAUAGAAAAGUUUGUAAUACAGUUAACGGCUCUGAAGAAACAAAGCUUAUAGACACAGAUUAGAUUGUAAUAGAAAAUUAAGCAAUUGAUUUGUUGAAUACUAGAGAUCAAAGUGGAAGAUAUUUCUCCCUUUCCAUUAAUUGGAGGGAAGUGUGUGGGGAAGGGAGAGCUGGUAAAAUGGGAAUAUGAGCUCUGAGGUUCUGAGCGGUCCCUCCAGCCAGAGUGCCCUGGCAGCAGCUGAGCACAGCUGGUUGGCAGACCCUGGAAGGACUGGUGCAGAACCCAGGAGGAGACGUGCGUAGUAGGUGGCUGGAGACUCGGAGAGGAAGCAGCUGAGAUGGGGUUACCCUGGGAUGCCCGUGAUAGGGUUACCAUGGUGAUAGGUCACAGUUCAUUCCCUCUACUUCCUCAAUAGUUAGAUAUUUUUAUUUUAGAUAAAAAUAUAGCUUUUUAGAUAUAUUUGUUUCAAUAAAGUUAUAUAUCUAUGUAUUUAGAUAUAAUUACUUUAAAUAUAGUUAUUUGGACAUUAGAUAUUUAAGUGCUCAGGACCAGUUUAACUUUCAGUUUGGGCUACUGCACCAUUUUGGUGUUUCCUGCCAAAAUAUUUUACCAGUGAGAAUUUUUUGACCCCAUUUGAAAGAUUUGAAGUAUGGCCUCUAUAUUAUGAAUGUAAUCUAUGAAAGAAUUUGAGUAGUUUCUCUGCUGAGAAUUAUGGGAUAAAAUGACUUCCUCCUGUAAUAUCAAGUGAGGACAAUUUAUCAUAGUUUUGCAGUGAAUUGAGAAUAAAAUCACUUUCUAUCUUA